RNAcentral lists this transfer RNA (72 nucleotides) under Candidatus Woesearchaeota archaeon. RNAcentral describes it as "tRNA-Arg". It matches the Rfam family "tRNA". From Rfam's summary of the family: Transfer RNA (tRNA) molecules are approximately 80 nucleotides in length. Their secondary structure includes four short double-helical elements and three loops (D, anti-codon, and T loops). Lineage: Archaea; Nanobdellati; Candidatus Woesearchaeota. The record is from RNAcentral.
GCCCCUGUAGUAUAAUGGAUAGAAUAGAACCCUGCGGAGGUUCAGAUCUGGGUUCGAUUCCCAGCAGGGGCG